RNAcentral lists this ribosomal RNA (253 nucleotides) under uncultured bacterium. RNAcentral describes it as "partial 16S ribosomal RNA". It matches the Rfam family "Bacterial small subunit ribosomal RNA", at positions 524 to 776 of the family's 1533-position model. The record is from RNAcentral.
UACGGAGGGUGCAAGCGUUAUCCGGAUUCACUGGGUUUAAAGGGUGCGUAGGCGGGUAUGUAAGUCAGUGGUGAAAUCUCGAAGCUUAACUUCGAAACUGCCAUUGAUACUAUAUAUCUUGAAUAUUGUGGAGGUUUGCGGAAUAUGUCAUGUAGCGGUGAAAUGCUUAGAUAUGACAUAGAACACCUAUUGCGAAGGCAGCAGGCUACACAUAUAUUGACGCUGAGGCACGAAAGCGUGGGGAUCAAACAGG